GACGAACGCUGGCGGCGUGCUUAACACAUGCAAGUCGAACGGAAAGGCCCUGCUUUUGUGGGGUGCUCGAGUGGCGAACGGGUGAGUAACACGUGAGUAUCCUGCCCUUGACUUUGGGAUAUCUUCAGGAAAAUGGGGCUAUUACCGCAUAGGAGCUCUUGCUGCGCGGUGGGGGUUGGAGAGAUUCGGCGGUUGGGGAUGGACUAGCGGCUUAUCAGCUUGAUGGGGUGGUAGGUGCUUACCAAGCGUAUGAAGGGUAGGCGGCAUGAGAGGGGUGCCGGCCACAUUGGGACUGAGAUACGGCCCAGACGCCUACGGGAGGCAGCAGUGGGGAAUAUGGCACAGUGGGCGGGAGCCUGAUGCGACAACGCCGCGUGCGGGAUGACGGCCUUCGGGUUGUAAACCGCUUUCGCCUGUGACGAAGCGUGAGUGACGGUAAUGGGUAAAGAAGCACCGGCUAACUACGUG
RNAcentral lists this ribosomal RNA (468 nucleotides) under uncultured bacterium. RNAcentral describes it as "partial 16S ribosomal RNA". It matches the Rfam family "Bacterial small subunit ribosomal RNA", at positions 28 to 507 of the family's 1533-position model. The record is from RNAcentral.